AUAGAUGGACGGAUAUUUUAAAUAUCCACGGGAAGUUUAUUCCAUAACUGUGCAGCACAGAAUGCAAAUGAAUGACCCAUAAAAUGAGUUUUAUAGCUGGUAAACUUUAGUACCUUGGACUAGUUUAAGCAAGACGUCUAAGUCUGGAAGGAGAAGGUAACAAUUGGAACCGGGAACGAAGAAAUUCAACAGUCAGUCAUGAAAUCACAUCAUUCACGUUUGAUGUUUAUAGUUACUGCCAGAGCUAUGUCACUUUGUAUAAAAUACCGCUAGUAUUUAACUAUGCAACCAGUAUAUUAAAUUUUAAAAAUUAAUUUUAAACUAUGCACUCUCGCAAUCAUGAUCUUGUCCAAAGAUAGUACAUAGAUCUUCAGAACAUAUUUAGAAACCUGGAUUGGGGUUGUUAUGGAAUAAAUAUCAAAGGACUUAAUGACCAAUAGUUUGAAUAUGUAGGAGAGAAUACAUACCUGGGAUAAAUUAUCUCAUCUAAAUAAUAAAUGUCUAAGGAGACACAAUAAAGAAUAAAUAACAGUUGGUCUCAUUAUUGGCCACUAAAAGAAAUAAUGCAAAGUAAGUCAGUACCAAUAUCUGACAAGAAAAAAGGUUAUAAUAUUUGCAUUUUGCUGGUGCAAACAUACGGCUGCCAAACAUGAGUUUUGUUAUUUAUACCUAUGUAUAAUGUAAAAAGAAUUUAUAAUUCAAGAAUAAAGGUUAUUUUUAUUUAUUUAUUUUUAUACUGUAUAAACAUUGUUUUAUAAGUUUGUAUAUGUUAUUAUACAUAUAUACUAUGUAUUGCCGUGUGGUCCGUAAUAUAGGAAAUUAAUAGUAGCACUCACCAGUAUUAAGCAACGCCGGGAUCAAGAUCAGUAUUAAGGAAGACUAAGACCAAAAUUUUGGUUUACCUACACAAGUUAAUAUUAGUCAGUUAGAAAGUUCACUCAAUAUUCAUAGCAUCUAAGACAAAAGUGUAAUCAGUAAUUUUUAUAUGUCGCCUGCCAUUGAACCAUUCUAAGUUCUAUAAAAAAAAAAAAAAA
Galleria mellonella (greater wax moth) is the source of this 1034-nucleotide long non-coding RNA. RefSeq lists it as uncharacterized. The transcript has 3 exons. The record is from RefSeq and is a predicted model, not a curated record. Lineage: Eukaryota; Metazoa; Arthropoda; Insecta; Lepidoptera; Pyralidae.